Non-coding RNA from Danio rerio (zebrafish), 7372 nucleotides. The record is from RefSeq and is a predicted model, not a curated record. Lineage: Eukaryota; Metazoa; Chordata; Actinopteri; Cypriniformes; Danionidae.
UUUACAUAUUUACAAUAUAUUGUCAUAUUCACAAGAAAUGUUUUCAGUCAUCUUUGAGUGAAAAUUAUGGAAUUAAAAAAUAUCAAUAAAUCUUUUUUUUUUUUUUGUUGAAUAAUAUGCUGCAUUUUAUAGAACCAUUUGAGUUUUCGUGUUACAUAGUUCACAAUCUUACUAUUUUUACCAGUUCAACAAUUUAUUAUUAUUUUGUUAAAGGAUCACACACAAGAAAAUAUCACAACAAAUAAAUAUAUAAUGAUAACUGUUAGAAAGCCUGUCCUAGGAACUUAAAUUAGUAAUUGUUUCCCGCACGGACAUUUUUACAUGACGCACACCAGUACGGACUGAAUGCCAUUCACUGUUUAUGCCGCAGGUUAUGCUCUGCAAAUGCGUUUAUGUUAUACAAGUGAGUACAUAUAUAUGUUUGAUUCUGAUUAUUAUAUGUCAUGUAUGUUAUUGGUCACUUUCAGUGUUUUUGACGAUCGUUUUUCCCGUUAAUUUCGGCCGUAAUUUGCCGAUCUAAUUUGCUGAGUCAUCGCCCUCCACACUAAUGCUACGUGCGAAUGCGGCCAGUGUUUGUUUACAUAACGAUUUAUAGUGCCCUGUUAUUUAGUUUACUGUUGUAUUUCAGUUCAUUUCAUUGCUAUAACAGGCGGAAAUACAGACUGUAUCAUGUAUAUCUUGUAUUGUGUUAGUUAAUAUUUCUCAUUGUGUUAGUACAAUAAGACACAAAUGUUAGAUGAAUAUUUUUUGGUAAAUUAUUUCUCUUUAUUUCCUUUUGUAGACCAUACCCACACAUUCUUUGCAAUAUCUCCAGUGCAUACCUCAGCUGCAUAUUCAGGACAGAAAUAAAUGCUCAUCAGAAAGAAUCUCUUCUCCACUCUUGAUUUUCUAACCGAAAUCAGAUCCAUAUUUGGCCGCCUUAGCCAGCUAAAAAUCUUGAAUGUAGUGGGACUUCACUACAUUUUAUGGUCCUUCGAGCCGGAUGAGAGCAAUAAUACACCAAUAUGGAUCCAGCAAAUGAUGACGCAUCAGAGACAAUGGAAAGACCACGACGUAAGACUCAUCUCCCUUCUCAUCUGGACGAUUAUGAGGUUGGCUAUCGACCCACUGAGGACCCUCCUCCCAAAGCUUCUUCCCACUGUCCCAGUAAGUCAAGAAGCAGCUCGAGGAAAACGUCUCAUAGCGGUGUAAGCUCUCACUCCAGGACAAGUAGGCGAUCUGUCACCUCCACAGGCGUUUAUCUUCCACCUGAGCUCUCCAGCGUUCAGACUGCUAUAUUGGAGGAGAAGAUUAAACAAAGGCAGUUAGACAGUCUUCGUCAGCAGGUUGCAGAGGACUCAUUGGCUGAUGUAGAAUACCAGCGGCUACAGGCACAAGCUAAAGAAGCCCAGCAAGUUCAAGAGGAAGCUCUCAGAGCAAAGGAAACCUUAUCAAAGCAGCUAGAAAGACAGCGUAAGCUGCAACAAGCAGAAACUGAGCUUGAGGUAGCUAAGCUUGUGUCCUCUAUGCUUGUUAAAGACUCUGGUUCGACCACUCCUAUCCAUACAAGCUCACCCGGCAACCAUUUGUCUCUAUCUCAGCCUGUAUGUGUCGAUCAAGCCAUAAGUUCAUCUCAUCUCUCAUCCUCUUUCCAGCAGCCCGCUACUCAGUCACCCGCUGUGACGUCAACAAUACAGACUUGUCAUGCAGAGCAGGGUAUUUCUGAUGACUCCUGGGUGUCUCAGCCAUCAUUUAGACCUCUGCAAUUGACAGCUGAGUCUAAAGGUGCACCAUUUACUGCAGUGCCACAAGGAGGCUCAUCGUCGGUCUCUAAGGUAUCUCAGACUGCCCCUAUAACUAUGCCAGUUCGAACUGUGUUAUCUGCAACAAAUAUGAUAUCCCAACCACAUUUGAGAGCUCCAGUCAUGUCCACUUCUGCACUUCCCUUACAUACAAGCAUGCAGUCUAUGCCACCACCGCCUAUCACAGCCACCCCGCAGCUGGCUACAUCAUAUACUGUACCACAAACUGUAAUACCUCCAGUGACAGCACAUGCACGUCUGUUACAGCCUCCAAUCACCAGCCACCCGCCACCUGUUUUGCAACCUACCAGCCUUAGCUAUGUGCAGCCACCACCAUUCAUGCACAACAGUCACCCUGCACAUAUGGGUACAGAGCUACUGUUUGCAUCGGCCUACGGCAUCCCACAGCCUAAGUUACCAGUGUUUGAAAGUGGUAACGAGAGUGACUUUGCCCUGCUAAAAUUAGCGUUGGACAAUUUGUUGACUAAUCACAACCAUCUCAGUGAGCAAUACAAGUACCAUGUCUUAUUAAGCCACUUAAAACUUCCCAGUGCUCAGCAGCUGGCCAAAGCCUACAUGUAUCAUCCUCGUCCUUAUUCAGCUGCACUACAGGCUCUUCAAGACAAGUAUGGCCAGCCGCGACAGCUUGUCCAGUCAGAGCUGGGUGUAAUGAUGAACACUCCACCAAUCAGAAUGGGUGAUGCGAAUGCUUUUGAUAACUUUGCCUUAUCUGUUCAGUCGUUGGUGGGCAUGCUAAGGACACUUGAGGGCCAGAAUGGUUACGAGCUCAUGUGUGGCUCUCACGUCGAUCGCCUGUUAAGUAAACUGCCAUCUGCCUAUCGUGAUGGUUUUGUUGAAUACUGCCUGAGCAGGGGGAUUCUCCAAACAGGUACCGAUAGGACCUACACACUUCCUGAUCUAGCCACCUGGUUAGAGAUCAAAUCUCAAGCAAAACGCAUCUCCAAUCGAGCCGCAACUUUGUUCCAGAGUGAACUAUCCAAGCCUCAUGGUAGGGUCACAGUGUCUACUCGCCCGAAGGAGCGGGCAACACCAGUACUCUUGGCCAAUGAGAGGGGCACACCUCCCCCUGGAUUUGCCGCCCAGAAACCCAAUACAAAGCUGAAACCAUACUGCCCCCAUUGUGACAACAGGGACCAUUACCUCAACUCUUGUGACCAGUUCAAGAAGUUGACCUCGGAUCAAAUUGUCACUUGGAUUAAAGAGGGAAACCGUUGCUGGAGAUGUGGCAGGACACAUGCAGUAGAGACCUGUAACCUUAAGCGCCCAUGUAAGGUCUGCAAAGAACUUCACCUCAUAGUUCUACAUAACACUAUUAAUGACACGUCCAAGGCUGUACUUAUGGUGAGCAUGCCGUCCACCAGGGUUUACCUCGACAGACCUAACCGUUCACCAAAGGUUAUGUUGAAAGUAGUUAAGGUCCUUCUCCACCAUGGCCACCGCACUAUGGAAACUCAUGCAGUCCUUGACGACGGGUCAGAGAGGACAAUAGUAUUACAGCCAGCAGUACGGCAGCUAAAGUUAACCGGGACCACUGAAUUGCUUCCCCUACAGACAAUUCAACAGUGCCACACAGAGCUGGAAGGGCGGUCAAUCUCCUUUGAGGUGUCCUCUGUCACAAAGCCCAUGGUAAAGUUUGCUAUAUGCAACGCAUUCACUGCAACCGGUUUGUGCCUAGCAGAGCACAACUACCCAGUAACUGCUCUCCAGAAUGCCCAUCGACACUUGAAGGAUCUGCCACUGCCUCCCGUGGACAGGGUAAAGCCACUGCUCCUUAUUGGAUCUGACAAUCCUCACCUUCUGACACCCAUCCAGCCUGUCUGCGAAGGCCCAGUAGGGGGGCCCAUUGCGGUCUGCACGCAACUCGGAUGGUGUCUCCAAGGCCCGAUGAGUCCUAUGCAGUCCUCACGAGGAAAGCAGCAAUGUCUUAACAUCAUGACAGCUCCAGCCCGUGAUGAACUUAUCCAUCAUGUAGAAAGACUCUGGCAAGUUGACACCCUUCCGUACAAUGAGAAAAUAAUCACCAGGUCUAAGCAAGAUAAGGAAGCUUACAACAUGCUUCAGGAUUCUACCAUCAGAGUAAAUGUGGAUGGUGUUCAACGCUACGCUACACCCCUGCUGAGACGGACACCUGUGAGUUUGCUCCAUGCAGAAAAGGAUGCAGUUCUACCCAGUUUACGCAGCACAGAGCGCCGGCUGUCACGGGAUCCGGAGAGGGCUAAAGCAUACUGCACUGAGAUCCAGAAGUUGGAGGCAGCUGGAUAUGUUGCCAAGAUAACUGCGGAGGAAGCCAACAAGAGUAACGAGUCUUGGUAUAUUCCGCAUCACGUUGUACAUCACAACAACAAAGACCGGAUUGUCUUUAACUGUUCCUUUCAACAUCAAGGACAGUCAUUGAACAGUCAGCUACUGCCUGGACCAACUUUGGGACCAUCGUUAUUGGGAGUCCUCCUGAGAUUCCGGCAGCAUGCUGUUGCUGUAAGCGGUGACAUAAAAGGCAUGUUCCACCAGGUACGUCUGCUGCCCAAAGACAAACAGGUGCUUCGUUUCCUAUGGAGGGACAUGUGCAGGGAUAGAGAGCCCGAUAUAUACGAAUGGCAGGUGCUUCCCUUCGGAACUACCUGUAGUCCAUGUUGCGCCAUCUUUGCCCUCCAACACCAUGCACAAGGACACAAAGGUGACAUGCCUAAGUUGGUUAACAUAGUGGAGAACUCCUUUUAUGUUGAUAACUGUCUUUACAGCACACCAACAGCCAAGGAAGCUAAGGACGUUGUGGAUGGACUGCGUCAGUUGCUGGCUGAGGGAGGCUUUGAUUUAAGACAGUGGGCCUGUAAUGUACCAUCUGUGAUCCAGCAUCUUCCCGCAGAGGCCUUGUCUACCAACAGUGAACGAUGGUUAACCAAAGCUAGUACAGACCUGCAAGAACCCACUCUUGGCCUACGGUGGAAUUGUCUCAAUGAUUCUCUGGGUUACAAUUUACGUUCUGCAGAGCCAUUGGAGCCUACUAUGAGGAACAUGUACAAGACAUUGGCCAGUCAGUAUGAUCCUUUAGGAUUUAUUAUCCCGUUCACUACAAGGGCUAAAGUCCUCAUUCAGGACCUUUGGAAGCAAAACUUGGGCUGGGAUGAUCUGAUUGAGCCUGCACAGCUGAGGAAUAAGUGGUUAACCUGGGUAGGAGAAAUUCCAACACUCCUUCAGUUGCAGUUCCCUCGACUAUACACACCAGUCUGGCCUGAUAAUCCUCCUGUCACUCGAGAGCUACACAUCUUUUGUGACGCAUCUGAAAGAGCGUAUGGGUCAGUGGCUUAUUUACGUGCUUCUGAUGAUCAAGGACAUGUUGCCGUCACCUUUGUCUUGGCUCGAUCGAGAGUGGCCCCCAGAAAAUGCCUAUCCAUGCCUCGUUUGGAGCUAAGUGCAGCACUGACCGGCGCCCAGUUAGCCCAAGUAAUACAAAAUGAGUUAACUCUUCCCAUCGAUUCAGUCACUCUCUGGUCUGACUCAACAACUGUGCUGUACUGGUUGACCGCAGAGUCUUGCCGCUACAAGGUGUUUGUUGGAGGACGUGUAGCUGAAAUACAGACUCUCACUGAGACAGCUGAAUGGAGGUAUGUUGAUUCGGCCAACAACCCGGCUGACCAUAUCACAAGGGGUCUAACUUUAGCGGAGCUAACAGGCCCUCACCAAUGGAAUUCAGGACCAUCCUUUCUCCUUAAAUCCGUUGACCAAUGGCCAUCCAUUCCCAAGCUAGCGGUAGAACCAGAACUCAGUGAAUUAAAGAAAGCUGCCUUCGUUGGUACUAUUUCAGUGAAUAACCCUUCACUCCCAGACCCAACUCAGUUCUCUACAUGGCAAGAACUUGUCCAGGCCACUGUUAGGUCCCUGCACGGGGCGGCUAUUGCUGAUAAUAACUUCUCUAGUGACGCAGCUGACUAUAUUGAAGCUGAGAAACUCCUCCUGGUACAGGCUCAAAGUGACUCGUUCCCAUACGAGGUCAAGGCUCUGAAGACUGCCCAAUCUCUACCUUCUGACAGUCGUUUGAUCUCUCUUGCCCCUGAGUUUGAUGAAGCCACAGGUCUCAUCCGAGUAGGUGGAAGAUUACGUCGGACUGACAGCCUAGACUUGGAUUCUAUCCACCCAAUUGUGUUGGAUCCUGGCCACCCUGUCACCAAGCUGUUAAUUAAGGAGACAGAUCAGCGACUCCUUCACCCAGGCUCCGAACGGGUCCUAGCUGAACUGCGCCGCCAGUAUUGGGUAUUGAGAGGCAGAGAAGCAAUUCGGAAACAUCAGCACACAUGUAGAGACUGUCAGUUCUGGCGUGCUAAACCUCAGACACCCCAAAUGGCUGAUCUUCCAUCCAGCAGACUGCAACUUUACAAACCCCCGUUCUACUCUACAGGGGUAGAUUGCUUUGGCCCCUUCACGGUUAAAGUUGGUCGUCGCCAAGAGAAGAGGUGGGGAGUCCUCUAUAAAUGUAUGACAACCAGGUGCGUGCAUCUAGAUCUACUGGAACAACUAGACACUGAUGCAUUUCUGCUUUCUCUGCGUCGCUUCAUCGCAAGACGAGGCAAGCCCAUGGAAUUGCUAUGUGACAAUGGCACUAACUUCGUUGGAGGGGAUCGAGAAUUACGAGAGACCUUCAAUGCCAUGGCACCAAAGCUGCAGGAGCAGCUUGCGGAGCAAAGGAUUCGAUUUCGCUUUAACCCACCAAGUGCUCCUCAUUUCGGGGGAACCUGGGAGCGUGAGGUCAAAUCGGUGAAGUCCGCUUUACGUGUCAUCCUGCGAGAGCAGUCAGUGCCAGAGGCAGUAUUGCAAACCCUGUUAGUGGAGGUGGAAGGCAUUCUGAAUUCCAAGCCACUUGGCUACAUAUCCUCUGACGUUGCAGACUUGGACCCAGUGACUCCCAACCUGCUCCUUAUGGGCCGACGUGAUGCCUCACUUCCUCAGGUUCUGUAUGACUCCAACAACUUGCUCGGCAGACGCAGAUGGAGACAUAGCCAGGUGUUGGCUGAUAAUUUCUGGACUGCCUUCAUCCGCCAUCAUCUCCCAAGUUUACAGGAUCGCCAGAAGUGGAGGAAGGAUGGCAAGGAACUUACCGUGGGCCAAGUAGUUCUUAUUGUUGAUCCACAACUCCCACGUGCUUUAUGGCCUGUAGGAACAGUGUCUGAAACGUUACCUGGAGCUGACGGUAAAAUUCGUACCGUUAGAGUUAAAGUUAAGGAAAAAACUUACACUCGUCCAGUUGUGCGAUUAAUUCCCCUUCCGCACCUAGAGGAUAAUGUUCCUGACACGGCAGACAAACUUUCUUAAAAUGUACAAUUAUCCUGACAGAUAAUUGGGGGCGGCUGUGUUAGAAAGCCUGUCCUAGGAACUUAAAUUAGUAAUUGUUUCCCGCACGGACAUUUUUACAUGACGCACACCAGUACGGACUGAAUGCCAUUCACUGUUUAUGCCGCAGGUUAUGCUCUGCAAAUGCGUUUAUGUUAUACAAACCAUACCCACACAUUCUUUGCAAUAUCUCCAGUGCAUACCUCAGCUGCAUAUUCAGGACAGAAAUAAAUGCUCAUCAGAAAGAA